This 492-nucleotide ribosomal RNA is filed under the name uncultured bacterium. RNAcentral's name for it is "partial 16S ribosomal RNA". It matches the Rfam family "Bacterial small subunit ribosomal RNA", at positions 28 to 507 of the family's 1533-position model. The record is from RNAcentral.
GAUGAACGCUAGCUACAGGCUUAACACAUGCAAGUCGAGGGGAAACGACAUCGAAAGCUUGCUUUUGAUGGGCGUCGACCGGCGCACGGGUAAGUAACGCGUAUCCAACCUGCCCAUCACUUGGGAAUAACCUUGCGAAAGUAAGACUAAUACCCAAUGACAUCCCACGAAGACAUCUGAAUGGGAUUAAAGAUUUAUCGGUGAUGGAUGGGGAUGCGUCUGAUUAGCUUGUUGGCGGGGUAACGGCCCACCAAGGCAACGAUCAGUAGGGGUUCUGAGAGGAAGGUCCCCCACAUUGGAACUGAGACACGGUCCAAACUCCUACGGGAGGCGGCAGUGAGGAAUAUUGGGCAAUGGGCGAGAGCCUGAACCAGCCAAGUAGCGUGCAGGAUGACGGCCCUAUGGGUUGUAAACUGCUUUUAGAAGGGAAUAAAGUGGGUCUCGUGAGACUUUUUGCAUGUACCUUAUGAAUAAGGACCGGCUAAUUCCGUG